Zea mays is the source of this 109-nucleotide non-coding RNA. The record is from Rfam. Lineage: Eukaryota; Viridiplantae; Streptophyta; Magnoliopsida; Poales; Poaceae.
ACUCUAGUAUUUACCCCAAUACACAUGGGUUGAAGAGGAUUGAGGUGUAAACUAAACUAAUUUACACUCCAAUUCCCUUCAACCCAUGUGUAUUGGGGUGAAUAUUAGA